CGAGUACUUGCUUUUAUUUUAUUUUAUCAUUAUCUUUUAAUGGGUUUUGCUUGAAGUUUCACAAUUUCAGUUCUUGUGUUCACUCUGUGAAUUCUAUUAUCAAAAAUGAUCUGUAGCUUGAAUAUUUCGGGCUCGAAUGGCUCGAAAGUACAAAUUUCUCUCCCCUCUCGAUCUUUUCCCUCUCCGCUUUAGUAGUUCACUAUAUCUCUUUACUCUCGCCCCUCACCUCUCUCAUUCUCAACAAAUUGCAAGAAAUCAGCACUCUCACCUCUCUCUCACUCUUGCCUUAUCCCUCUCUCCUCUUUAUCUCUUUAUUCUUGCCUCUCUCACCUGUCUCUUGAAGGAGUACGAAGGACGACGAGGCGGGGGACGAAGGACGACGAGACGGUGGAUGAACGACGACGGAGGAUGACGAACCACGACACAGGACGAACGAGAGCCUGCGACAGCGAAUUUGAGAUAAAAAAAUGGCUUCAUCUUCUACUAAUAAUAGGAACAUAAGAUUAAAGCCAAGAUUGUGUAAUUGUGGAAGAACAGCUUCCAUGCAUAUUAUACGAACCAAUGAAAAUGGAAAUGAAGGACGUGUCUUUUUUGUUUGCCCAACAAAAUAUGUAAGUAUUUGUUAUAUAAAUUGAUCUUUUACUUUCUACAAAUUUCAUUUGUUAUUUAUUGAUUAACUGAUUCUUGUGCAUUGUAGAUUGCAAACGAACACUACAAUUACUUCAGAUUCGCAGAUGAUGAUGACGACGUUACCUCCACAAUCCGUGCCAAUGCUGGACCUCGGAUAGAUUCAAGAAUAGAAGAAAUUAAUGAUCUAAGGAGAAGGCUUGGUGAGAUGGACAAUGCAAUUCAUGAGCAUGAUAAAAGGCUUCAAAGGAUGGAGAAGAUUUUCAAGGCAAUGACUUAUGUCAUUGUAUUUUGUGUAUUUUUGUACUUUAUCAUAUAAAUGACUAAGUUGUUAGGUUUUGGAACAUGCUAUGAAUGUAAUCUACUUUUCUACUUGUUUUGUAUUUUUUUGUUGGUGCUUAAAAA
Molecule: non-coding RNA, 1032 nt
Organism: Camellia sinensis
Lineage: Eukaryota; Viridiplantae; Streptophyta; Magnoliopsida; Ericales; Theaceae
Source: RefSeq, a predicted model, not a curated record